RNAcentral lists this ribosomal RNA (442 nucleotides) under uncultured bacterium. Its description in RNAcentral is "partial 16S ribosomal RNA". It matches the Rfam family "Bacterial small subunit ribosomal RNA", at positions 338 to 795 of the family's 1533-position model. The record is from RNAcentral.
CCUACGGGGCGCAGCAGUGGGGAAUAUUGGGCAAUGGACGCAAGUCUGACCCAGCAACGCCGCGUGAAGGAAGAAGGCUUUCGGGUUGUAAACUUCUUUUAAGGGGGAAGAGCAGAAGACGGUACCUGACCAAGAAGCCCCGGCUAACUACGUGCCAGCAGCCGCGGUAAUACGUAGGGGGCAAGCGUUAUCCGGAUUUACUGGGUGUAAAGGGGGCGCAGACGGCAAUGCAAGCCAGGAGUGAAAGCCCGGGGCCCAACCCCGGGACUGCUCUUGGAACUGCAUGGCUGGAGUACAGGAGGGGCAGGCGGAAUUCCUAGUGUAGCGGUGAAAUGCGUAGAUAUUAGGAGGAACACCGGUGGCGAAGGCGGCCUGCUGGACUGUGACUGACGUUGAGGCCCGAAGGCGUGGGGAGCAAACAGGAUUAGAUACCCGGGUAGUC